UACGUAGGGUGCAAGCGUUGUCCGGAAUUAUUGGGCGUAAAGAGCUCGUAGGCGGUCUGUCACGUCGGAUGUGAAAAUCCAGGGCUUAACCCUGGACCUGCAUUCGAUACGGGCAGACUAGAGUUCGGUAGGGGAGACUGGAAUUCCUGGUGUAGCGGUGAAAUGCGCAGAUAUCAGGAGGAACACCGGUGGCGAAGGCGGGUCUCUGGACAGUUCCUGACGCUGAGGCACGAAGGUCAGGGGAGCAAACGGG
Molecule: ribosomal RNA, 253 nt
Filed under: uncultured bacterium
Lineage: Bacteria
Description: partial 16S ribosomal RNA
Rfam family: Bacterial small subunit ribosomal RNA
Source: RNAcentral